Molecule: ribosomal RNA, 468 nt
Filed under: uncultured bacterium
Lineage: Bacteria
Description: partial 16S ribosomal RNA
Rfam family: Bacterial small subunit ribosomal RNA
Source: RNAcentral
GACGAACGCUGGCGGCGUGCUUAACACAUGCAAGUCGAACGGAAAGGCCCUGCUUUUGUGGGGUGCUCGAGUGGCGAACGGGUGAGUAACACGGGAGUAACCUGCCCUUUACUUUGGGAUAACUUCAGGAAACUGGGGCUAAUACCGGAUAGGAGCUCCUGCUGCAUGGUGGGGGUUGGAAAGUUUCGGCGGUUGGGGAUGGACUCGCGGCUUAUCAGCUUGUUGGUGGGGUAGUGGCUUACCAAGGCUUUGACGGGUAGCCGGCCUGAGAGGGUGAACGGCCACAUUGGGCCUGCGAUACGGCCCAGACUCCUACGGGAGGCAGCAGUGGGGAAUAUUGCACAAUGGGCGGAAGCCUGAUGCAGCAACGCCGCGUGCGGGAUGACGGCCUUCGGGUUGUAAACCGCUUUCGCCUGUGACGAAGCGUGAGUGACGGUAAUGGGUAAAGAAGCACCGGCUAACUACGUG